CCUCUCUCUCUAUCUCUUUAGCGACCUACAGCCGCAACCUCUUCCGGCGCAGCAGACAAGGGAAAUCGGUGACCCAGGGAGUCCGGCAUUGUAGCCAAGAAACCGUGUACCGCCCUUGUAGAUCCUCCCAUUUUCGCUAUUUCCUCUCCCUUUGGACGAAGAGCAGCAGCAGCCACAAUAUGGGGGUGGCCGGCGACAUGCUCCGGCGAUCGAUGGCGAGGCAGACCAGCAAAGCAGGCGGUGGCUUCCUCCCCUAUUUUCCGGCGAGCAAAGCUUAGCGGUGGCCUCCUCCCUUCCAACCAGCAAACAACAAGCAGACCAGGCCGUGCCUCUCUCGACAGUUCAACGUUGGCAGUUCGGCGGCGGCGGACUUGUUUUCCCCUUCUCCGACAGCGACGGACGACAGUGAAGCUUGGAAUGAGACACAGACGACGCCAAUCGCACCAUCAUGACCACCAAGCCCCGUCACAACCGGCAGCGCACUCACCACGACCACCACCAGCCCCCGUCACAGCCGGCGACCUUCUCCGGUUCAACAGCGUCAGCAGCCCCAUUGACGUGAACCACCAGCCAGGCAGCCACUAGUUAAUUUUUUUUCUUGGAAUUUAUUAAUUUUUUAUUAUCAUCCCAGAGUCGUCGCUUCUAACAUCGCACUCAUCCUCGUCUUCUUUGGUCGUUCGAAUGGCUAAGAGAGAAGAGGAAUUGAAGGAAAUCAGAGCGAAAACUACUGAGGAAAUCAACGAGGAGAUAUUGAACCUCAAGGGAGAGCCGUUAUUGCUUCACCUCCAGAUGUCUGUCCGCAGUGAAUUCAAGUCCAGCGAGUUCGGCCGUAUGCCCGUAUGCGUAAACGUGUUGCUCGAAUGAUGACUGUUAAAUGGGAGAAAGAGCUAAUUGUGGUUCCAAAUAUAUUCUGUCAAUCUGGAUUAAGGCAUUUUCUUUUGUUCCUCUAACUGUUACCAUAAUUGUGUUGCUUCCUUGUAUUCUCUUGUUAAGUUACUCUCAAGUAUCUUCCCGUUCUUGUUUCUUAAACUAAUGAGUGUUCCAGUUCUUGAGCUGAGAAAUCUGUUUAUUGAUUUGUGUAGAAUCUAACUGUUUUGAUUUGCAUAUGAAUUGCUCCAUAAUCAGCUUUUGCAUUGCUGUUGUUACCACAGAAUAUUGUACUUACUGCUUUGAACUUUUUUUAAGUUUUUAUUUAUCUUUGUUUUGAUACAGUUUCUUUAUCUAUCACUUAUCUUCUUCAUCUAAUAAUUGUCUGUUAGGUUGAGGCCACAUGAGAGAAUGAGGUGAAGGUUUUGGGGGGUUAAAACAAGAAAUUUAUGACACUCUCUAUUUACCACUAUUUCCAUCUCCUUUGCCCAUAUUUAUUCACCAACUACUUUAUCUUUUUCUUGCUGGCUGGAUUGAUUGGAUUAUUUGUCUUUAGAUCUCUCUCACUAUGUCUCACUCUUUCUUUCGCUCCUGAUUUUUAAACAAAGCUUCUAACUUUUUUUUUUUUGCCUGCUCACAUCUAUGUAGAUACAUACACAUCAACUAGCUUUGUGGUGAUGAUAGCAGGUCUGAUGAUUCAUCAACCAAACCAGCAGUAAGCCUUUAAUAAUCAAGAAAACAUGUCAAAUGUCUAAUGCUCUAAUGUGAACGGCAGGAGCGUUUGAUGUAUAAUGUCGUUAGGAACCGGAUUCAGACGAGUUUCCGGUGGUGGGACUGGAUUGAUGAGAGCUUGAUUACAUUAAUGGAGGAAAUGGGACGCUUUUGCAUAAAUUUUGAAGAAAGUAUACUUCAAGGAAGGUUUCUUCCAUGUUGAUCGUUCAUUUGGGAAUUUGAUACGCACUCCAAAUGAAAAGCUAGAUCGAACAUUUUUGCUUUGGGGCUGUUUUUGUCUAAACUAAAAAUGUUUAUUUGUGUAGUUUCACCUUUCAAAAUAGCCAACAGAUACAUUACUAUGGCUAUUUGUUAGCUAUAAUUAGUUUUUUUUGCCUUUAGUCUUUAUAAAGUUGUGUGAAACAUUUCAUUUUGAUAGUGAUGAUGAAGUCUUUUAAUAUAUUGAUGAGUUUAUUUUGAUU
This is a long non-coding RNA of Ipomoea nil (Japanese morning glory), 2060 nucleotides long. RefSeq lists it as uncharacterized. The transcript has 6 exons. NCBI's taxonomy places the organism in Eukaryota, Viridiplantae, Streptophyta, Magnoliopsida, Solanales, Convolvulaceae. The record is from RefSeq and is a predicted model, not a curated record.